RNAcentral lists this ribosomal RNA (277 nucleotides) under Brookesia griveaudi. RNAcentral describes it as "partial large subunit ribosomal RNA". It matches the Rfam family "Bacterial large subunit ribosomal RNA", at positions 2050 to 2551 of the family's 2925-position model. The record is from RNAcentral. Lineage: Eukaryota; Metazoa; Chordata; Lepidosauria; Squamata; Chamaeleonidae.
CCAGUACAAAAGCUGGCAUUUUAAAGCAAGACAAAAAGACCCCAUGGAACUUUAAUAAACUAUUAAUAAAAUUUAAUAGAAUAUUUUAGUUGGGACAACUAUAGAAAAACUAAACUUCUAAGUAUAGUAAGACUAACUAGUCUAAUAAACUCUAAAUUUGAUCCAGUCAAACUGAUUAAUGAAACAAGCUACCCUGGGGAUAACAGCGCCACCUUCUUAAAGAGUUCAUAUCAACAAGAAGACCUACGACCUCGAUGUUGGAUCAGGAUAUCCAGAC